AAAGAGGUUUUUGUCUUUAGGAGGGCAAGCACAAUAAGAAAGAUCGAGAGAAAGAUCAUGUCCACUAGGAUAGGCUGAGGAGUCAGGUCUUGCUUGAGGAUGUGUAAUGCCAUGUUUGAUGCAUGUGCAUUUUUGUUGGUAUUAUGGAUGUUGACUGAUCCCUUAGUCCUCGAUAUGCUAUGUUAUGAUAUCAGAUGAGUUGAGAGACCAGGUAUGGCCUUUGGCACAGUUGGUCAUGGCAUGUUAUGCUAGAUUGAGGGCUAUUGGUGACAGGAUCAUCCCUGAUAUCUGUUUGAGAGUUCAUGUGGUUGCGACAUGGACCCUAUGUUAGGCUGCUUUUCAUGUGUUUUGUGUUUUGUUCACCUGAUGUGAAGCUGAUGUGUGCUUGUGUGCCUGUUGUGUUUCAGAAGAGUGAGGAUGCAAGGUGCGAGUCAAUUUGUGGAGUCAGAUCCAUCUGAGUGGGAAGGUACAGACAC
Molecule: long non-coding RNA, 476 nt
Filed under: Manihot esculenta (cassava)
Lineage: Eukaryota; Viridiplantae; Streptophyta; Magnoliopsida; Malpighiales; Euphorbiaceae
Description: long non-coding RNA (MESC_LNC009955)
Source: RNAcentral